Molecule: ribosomal RNA, 613 nt
Filed under: Enterobacter cloacae
Lineage: Bacteria; Pseudomonadati; Pseudomonadota; Gammaproteobacteria; Enterobacterales; Enterobacteriaceae
Description: partial 23S ribosomal RNA
Rfam family: Bacterial large subunit ribosomal RNA
Source: RNAcentral
UGGCUGGUGUUCUAACGUAGACCCGUGAUCCGGGUUGCGGACAGUGUCUGGUGGGUAGUUUGACUGGGGCGGUCUCCUCCCAAAGAGUAACGGAGGAGCACGAAGGUUAGCUAAUCCUGGUCGGACAUCAGGAGGUUAGUGCAAUGGCAUAAGCUAGCUUGACUGCGAGAGUGACGGCUCGAGCAGGUGCGAAAGCAGGUCAUAGUGAUCCGGUGGUUCUGAAUGGAAGGGCCAUCGCUCAACGGAUAAAAGGUACUCCGGGGAUAACAGGCUGAUACCGCCCAAGAGUUCAUAUCGACGGCGGUGUUUGGCACCUCGAUGUCGGCUCAUCACAUCCUGGGGCUGAAGUAGGUCCCAAGGGUAUGGCUGUUCGCCAUUUAAAGUGGUACGCGAGCUGGGUUUAGAACGUCGUGAGACAGUUCGGUCCCUAUCUGCCGUGGGCGCUGGAGAAUUGAGGGGGGCUGCUCCUAGUACGAGAGGACCGGAGUGGACGCAUCACUGGUGUUCGGGUUGUCAUGCCAAUGGCACUGCCCGGUAGCUAAAUGCGGAAGAGAUAAGUGCUGAAAGCAUCUAAGCACGAAACUUGCCCCGAGAUGAGUUCUCCCUGAGACUU